GUCUCAUGCUCUGAUGGGCGAUUCACAUGCUCUGAUGGGCGGGUCUCAUGCUCUGAUGGGCGGGUCUCAUGAGCUGAUGGGCGUCAUAUGCUCUGAUGGGUCUCAUGCUCUGAUGGGUGAAUCACAUGCUCUGAUGGGUCUCAUGCGCUGAUGGGUGGGUCACAUGCUCUGAUAGGUGGGUCACAUGCUCUGAUGGGCGAUUCACAUGCUCUGAUGGGUGGGUCACAUGCUCUGAUGGGCGGGUCUCAUGCGCUGAUGGGCGGGUCUCAUGCGCUGAUGGGCGGGUCUCAUGCUCUGAUGGGCGGGUCUCAUGCUCUGAUGGGCGGGUCUCAUGCUCUGAUGGGCGAAUCACAUGCUCUGAUGGGUCUGAUGGAUCGACGUGUGUCACAAUGAGAUCUCAGUGACGUCACUCAUCAGCAGCCCUCUCGUCUGAACGCAAGACUCACGGGUGGAUCUGUGUUUGUGAUUUUCCGCUCUGAUAUUCCUGCAGGAUCUUCUCCAGCUCUUCUAAACACAGGCUGAUCGCUCGCCUCGACACCGGAGCCAUUUUGAACCUACGAGAAAAAAACAACAAUCAGAAGGAGUGAAAGCAGACUGACGAGAGCUCAGGGUUGC
RNAcentral lists this long non-coding RNA (615 nucleotides) under Sinocyclocheilus anshuiensis. Its description in RNAcentral is "lncRNA (ENSSANG00000033640.1)". The record is from RNAcentral. Lineage: Eukaryota; Metazoa; Chordata; Actinopteri; Cypriniformes; Cyprinidae.